AUGCAAGUCGAGCGGCAGCGACAUCAACAAUCCUUCGGGUGCAGUUGAUGGGCGGCGAGCGGCGGACGGGUGAGUAAUGCCUGGGAACAUGCCUUAGUGUGGGGGAUAACCAUUGGAAACGAUGGCUAAUACCGCAUAAUCUCUACGGAGCAAAGCGGGGGACCUUCGGGCCUCGCGCGCUAAGAUUGGCCCAGGUGGGAUUAGCUAGUAGGUGGGGUAACGGCUCACCUAGGCGACGAUCCCUAGCUGGUCUGAGAGGAUGAUCAGCCACACUGGAACUGAGACACGGUCCAGACUCCUACGGGAGGCAGCAGUGGGGAAUAUUGCACAAUGGGGGAAACCCUGAUGCAGCCAUGCCGCGUGUGUGAAGAAGGCCUUCGGGUUGUAAAGCACUUUCAGCAGUGAGGAAGAGGUGGUGUUUAAUAGAUGCCAUCUUUGACGUUAGCUGCAGAAGAAGCACCGGCUAACUCCGUGCCAGCAGCCGCGGUAAUACGGAGGGUGCGAGCGUUAAUCGGAAUUACUGGGCGUAAAGCGCAUGCAGGCGGCGUGUUAAGCCAGAUGUGAAAGCCCGGGGCUCAACCUCGGAAUCGCAUUUGGAACUGGCAUGCUAGAGUCUUGUAGAGGGGGGUAGAAUUUCAGGUGUAGCGGUGAAAUGCGUAGAGAUCUGAAGGAAUACCGGUGGCGAAGGCG
RNAcentral lists this ribosomal RNA (690 nucleotides) under Photobacterium halotolerans. Its description in RNAcentral is "bacterial SSU rRNA". It matches the Rfam family "Bacterial small subunit ribosomal RNA", at positions 55 to 723 of the family's 1533-position model. Lineage: Bacteria; Pseudomonadati; Pseudomonadota; Gammaproteobacteria; Vibrionales; Vibrionaceae. The record is from RNAcentral.